RNAcentral lists this transfer RNA (41 nucleotides) under Camelus dromedarius (Arabian camel). RNAcentral's name for it is "partial tRNA-Tyr". The record is from RNAcentral. Lineage: Eukaryota; Metazoa; Chordata; Mammalia; Artiodactyla; Camelidae.
GGUAAGAUGGCCGAGUAGGCAUUGGACUGUAAAUCUAAAGA